This 440-nucleotide ribosomal RNA is filed under the name uncultured bacterium. RNAcentral describes it as "partial 16S ribosomal RNA". It matches the Rfam family "Bacterial small subunit ribosomal RNA", at positions 338 to 795 of the family's 1533-position model. The record is from RNAcentral.
CCUACGGGUGGCAGCAGUGGGGAAUAUUGCACAAUGGGGGAAACCCUGAUGCAGCAACGCCGCGUGAGUGAAGAAGUAUUUCGGGAGGGAAAGCUCUAUCAGCAGGGAAGAAAAUGACAGUACCGGACUAAGAAGCCCCGGAUAACUACGUGCCAGCAGCCGCGGUAAUACGUAGGGGGCAAGCGUUAUCCGGAUUUACUGGGUGUAAAGGGAGCGUAGACGGCUGCGCACGUCAGAUGUGAAAGCCCGGGGCUCAACCGCGGGACUGCUUUUGACACUGUGUAGCUAGAGUGCAGGAGAGGUCAGUGGAAUUCCUAGUGUAGCGGUGACAUGCGUAUAUAUUAGGAGGAACACCGGUGGCGAAGGCGGCUUACUGGACUGUACCUGACGUUGAGGCUCGAAAGCGUGGGGAGCAAACAGGAUUAGAUACCCGAGUAGUC